This 158-nucleotide ribosomal RNA is filed under the name Spermatozopsis similis. Its description in RNAcentral is "5.8S ribosomal RNA". It matches the Rfam family "5.8S ribosomal RNA". From Rfam's summary of the family: 5.8S ribosomal RNA (5.8S rRNA) is a component of the large subunit of the eukaryotic ribosome. Lineage: Eukaryota; Viridiplantae; Chlorophyta; Chlorophyceae; Chlamydomonadales; Dunaliellaceae. The record is from RNAcentral.
AACUCUCAACAACGGAUAUCUUGGCUCUCGUAACGAUGAAGAACGCAGCGAAAUGCGAUACGUAGUGUGAAUUGCAGAAUUCCGUGAACCAUCGAAUCUUUGAACGCAUCUUGCGCUCGAGGCUUCGGCCGAGAGCAUGUUUGCCUCAGCGUCGGUUU